Molecule: small RNA, 107 nt
Filed under: Marmota monax (woodchuck)
Lineage: Eukaryota; Metazoa; Chordata; Mammalia; Rodentia; Sciuridae
Source: RNAcentral
GCCAGGUGCAGUGGUGUGCGCCUGUAAUCCUAGCAACUCGGAAGACUGAGGCAGGAGGAUGGCAAGUUUGAGGCCAGCCUGGGCAGUUUAGAAAGACCCUGCCUCAA